This is a long non-coding RNA of Anguilla anguilla (European eel), 541 nucleotides long. RefSeq lists it as uncharacterized. The transcript has 2 exons. Lineage: Eukaryota; Metazoa; Chordata; Actinopteri; Anguilliformes; Anguillidae. The record is from RefSeq and is a predicted model, not a curated record.
CCACCGCCUCAACUGGCAGCAUAUAUAAAUAAACGGGCUCCGCAGAAGCCGCGCUCAGAUUGCGUUGGCUUGCCUUUAGCCAAUUAGUUAGAGCUUAAAUAAGAGCGCGCGCUUGGCGCGCGUACUUCCCCACGCAGCGCUCCUGAUGCAAGUAUAAUUGAGGUCGGCUCCUGCCCUGCAGCCGCAGGCUCAACUGCACGGCCUGGCGCGUCUUCACAAAAGGAAAGCCCCCACGAGGACUGCAACAACCGCAUUUCAUCCUUCUCUUUAAUAAGGCGGCUCCUGCCUCCACCGCAUAUUCCGGCGCUCUCUCAGCUACUUCAGUUGGUCUUCGCAUUAAUUAAAAGCAGGCUACGACGACGGUUCCUGGGAUCGAUGAUCUGUACCCUUGUGCAUUGCCGAUUCAUACUGAAAGCACAUCUUACACUUUCUGCGCAUGCGAAGCAGGCUAAUGGCCAUGUAUCCAGAACAAAGCAGAGUAACACAGUGACAAACGAUAAUUACGAAGCCUAGGUAAUAAAUAAAAGCGCCAGGCAAUUCA